Molecule: ribosomal RNA, 192 nt
Filed under: Heterosigma akashiwo
Lineage: Eukaryota; Raphidophyceae; Chattonellales; Chattonellaceae
Description: partial Bacterial large subunit ribosomal RNA
Rfam family: Bacterial large subunit ribosomal RNA
Source: RNAcentral
GUUACAAAGGAAAAUGUUAGACGAAUCAUCUGGAAAGAUGAAUCAAAGAAGGUAAUAAUCCUGUAGUUGAAAAUGUUUUCUCUCUUGAGUGGAUCCUGAGUACGACGGAGCACGUGAAAUUCCGUCGGAAUCUAGGAGGACCAUCUCCUAAGGCUAAAUACUCUCUAGUGACCGAUAGUGAACCAGUACCGU